GGUUUUUUCAGCAGGUUCAGUUGGAGGGUGGAGCUGCGUGCUGCCAUCUCAAACCUGCAAGCUAUCAGGCUCGUUAAGGCAGGUUUUAAGGAGUGGGUUGCAGAGGAUUCAACGCCUGAGUGUCGUCCUUUGCGGUGCCUCCUGGCAAACUCCCUGGGUCCUCCCGGUGAUCCUUGUGCAGCCUGGUUCAGCAUACCUCCGGAUUCCACGUUAGGAUCGCAGGCUGACUUCCACCAGCCUCAAGACGCUCAGCAACCGAAAACUGUCUGCCCUCCAACGAACUGCUUACCUACGGAAAACACAGACCUGUCUACCCGAAACUGACCUCCCCUCCCGGACUCAUAAUCCACCUGCAACUGGCGAACCGCCGGAGCAGCUGAGUGUUCCUCACACAUAUUAUUGUCUCUUCAAAAUAAAUAUCUUAAACUUC
Long non-coding RNA from Girardinichthys multiradiatus, 430 nucleotides. RefSeq lists it as uncharacterized. NCBI's taxonomy places the organism in Eukaryota, Metazoa, Chordata, Actinopteri, Cyprinodontiformes, Goodeidae. The record is from RefSeq and is a predicted model, not a curated record. The transcript has 3 exons.